Long non-coding RNA from Leopardus geoffroyi (Geoffroy's cat), 1957 nucleotides. RefSeq lists it as uncharacterized. The transcript is spliced from 5 exons. NCBI's taxonomy places the organism in Eukaryota, Metazoa, Chordata, Mammalia, Carnivora, Felidae. The record is from RefSeq and is a predicted model, not a curated record.
GCCCCGGGCGCCCACUUGGGUGCCCCCAGCCCCGCGGGGCCGUGGGCCUGAGGACGCUCGGCGGGCACAGGCCUGGUCAUUCGUUCGUCCAUUCAUUCACUCACUCCUUGAGCUGACUCAGGAAUAGAGAUGGGUUGUCUGCGGAUCCUAGAACAAGUUCUGGAGAUGGUGAACAGAUGGCCAAGCAGAAUUGCCAUAAUCCUCGAUAGCAAGAGGCAGCUUACCUUGUGGAAACUUGGGCCUCUCUUCUGACGACUGUAGGGAUUAAGAGAACAAGGAAUGGCAUGGGGGACAGUCCCCUCUAGGGGACAGGCAAGCCCCUGCCCAUCAUGUGACAACCCACCUGCCCCCACAGAUUUCCAGCACGCCUUCUGGUGAACCACUGGCCCAUUUCCACGCACUGAAGAUAAGCUAUAACUAUGCUGAUUGGAAGAAAUACAGCAAGAUGAGUGCUGUCCGCUGGAUGUGAGUACAUUCAUGACUUCAGACUUUCCGGGAGCCGCAUUUAAAAACAAGAAACCCGAGAUCGUCCCUUUCCACAAAACAGUCGAUGCCGUGCUGUGAAAUGUGUAGCAACGUUGCGGCUCCUGCCUAAUCGCCCGGUAGCCCUGGCCAAGUGUCACGUAAUCCAGAUCACAUCCAACAUGGACAUCCAACAUGUAAACGCAUAACGUCGACAUUCCAACGUGAGGAGCGCCAUUGGGCAGCACCAUCAGUUGUCAAGUGAAUGGCCUAGCAGUUGAGUGCUAUAGCAUCUCUACAAGGUCUAAAUAAAUAAUAAUGUGGAAAGAGAGCCGUUUGCUGGAUGCAAGAUGCCAGCUGUAGUUUCAAGGAAAUGUUGAUUGCAUGCUUUAGGAGCUACUCCACAAAGCCAUGCUCCAGUGUGUGUUUUCCUUGUAAGGUAGCAGGAGAGAAAGAGACACUUUUAUUUUUGCCUGCAGUUUAUUGUUUCCUCCUCAGCAGCUGUGCCGACGUGGUGUUGAUUAUGCAGAGAAGAAUUAUUUUGAUUAUUGACAGUUGGCAUUCUUCUCGUAAUUUCGAGUUCUUCAUCUCUGGUUCACUUCCUCACCUCCUCUCCUGCCCGCACAUGUAUAAAAACCUUGGAAGCUCUCGCUAGGAUUCUUACGCAUGGCAGCUGUGAGCAGCGAUGGAGUUGAAAGUUCAGGGGCAAUUUGACACGACACUCUUCCUCCUGGUCCAUCCCUUCUCUGAGCAUCUCUUUAGAGCAAGGGAGCCGGUGGGCUCGUGAGGUUCGUGGUGAGCGUCGGAAAGGCCUGUCCGUGAAGAAGCCAGGUUCCCUCGUGGGCCGCCUUGCCCCUGCAUCUCUGUCUGCUGGCAGGCGCCCCCUCUGUCCCAGCCACGUCCAUUCAGAGCUGUGUGCCAGUGGAGUGCUGGUUGGGGCUGGCUCAAAGGAAUAGCAGGUGGGAAGGAUCUUGUAGUUUUCCUUGGAACAAAGCCCGCUUAAGAAACAACGAUGAUCUCAACAAAACAGAAAAGAUCCCCCCUGGAGGUAAUCUUCACAUGAAGCAUGUGACUGAUUCCUGUGGAAUCCUCUGUCACCUCCCCUUGCCUACCUGUAUUUCAGCCUCAGAUAAGACACACUCAAGUGGCAGACUCCCACCUCAAAAGCUUUCUCUCUCGGCCAGGAGUUAAUGCCCCUGGGGAUAAACCUCCAUGAAGGCGAUCAGAAGAAACCAGUGGGAAAUGGCCCAGCUUCUCUUCCUUCAGGUGGGCAGUUCUGAGAGGCACUUUGUUUGCUUCUCAGACACCCUGGCCAAAUCAAACCAUGUUGCCUGCAGCAGUGACCCCAAUGUACUUCCUUGUCUCAGCUUUUUCUCUUUCCCUGGAUCACCUCCCAAAUGAACGACAUGUACCCGAGUCCUUGUCUCAGGCUCUGCUUUUGGGGAAAUACAAAAUAAAGCAGUGACAAUGAAAAGAUUAUUCUUCCCUGAACUUA